RNAcentral lists this ribosomal RNA (513 nucleotides) under uncultured bacterium. RNAcentral's name for it is "bacterial SSU rRNA". It matches the Rfam family "Bacterial small subunit ribosomal RNA", at positions 34 to 518 of the family's 1533-position model. The record is from RNAcentral.
CGCUGGCGGCGUGCCUAAUACAUGCAAGUCGAACGGUCUUUCUAUGGAAGCUUGCUUCCACUGAGAAGAUAGUGGCGAACGGGUGAGUAACACGUGGGUAACCUGCCCAUAAGAGGGGGGAUAACAUCCGGAAACGGGUGCUAAUACCGCAUAGUUUUCUUGAUCGCAUGAUCGGGAAAGGAAAGACGGCCUUUGUGCUGUCGCUUAUGGAUGGACCCGCGGCGUAUUAGUUAGUUGGUGAGGUAACGGCUCACCAAGACGAUGAUACGUAGCCGACCUGAGAGGGUGAUCGGCCACAUUGGGACUGAGACACGGCCCAAACUCCUACGGGAGGCAGCAGUAGGGAAUCUUCCGCAAUGGACGAAAGUCUGACGGAGCAACGCCGCGUGAGUGAAGAAAAGGUUUUCGGAUCGUAAAACUCUGUUGUCAGAGAAGAACAAGUUGGAGAGUAACUGCUCCAGCCUUGACGGUAUCUGACCAGAAAGCCACGGCUAACUACGUGCCAGCAGCCGC